GGGUUAAAUAUUAGACCACAUUCAAAGCAUGUUUUUGUCGGGAGCAAUAUGUCCAGGAGUUCAAGAGUGUUAAAUUACCGUAACUACAAUGAUGAAGAUGAUGACGAUAACAAUGUUGAUGUUGAUGCAGAUUAUGAGGAAGAAGAUAAAUAUGAUCCUCAUGAUGCAGAUUUUGAGCCUGACUAUGGACUUGCAAGUUCUCAUGCAGGGAAUAAGGAUAAAGACUGGGAUGGUGAAUAUUCUAAGGAAGAA
This is a long non-coding RNA of Hibiscus syriacus, 252 nucleotides long. RefSeq lists it as uncharacterized. The record is from RefSeq and is a predicted model, not a curated record. The transcript has 3 exons. NCBI's taxonomy places the organism in Eukaryota, Viridiplantae, Streptophyta, Magnoliopsida, Malvales, Malvaceae.